AAGGCCGUGUCCAGGGCUGCGCCCAGGUCCCUACUCUGCCCGGGGCGGGUUUGCGGGCCAAGCUGGGUGAUGGGCUCCUGCCCCCUCCGCCCCCUACCUGCUCCCUGUGCCAGGGGAGAAACCAAGGCCCAGAGUUCACCCGGGGGCGGUGAGAUUCCAGACUGAGGAGGGGGCACUCGCCCCCGUUCGUCGUCCCACCCCCACCAGACUCCGUAGGGUGCCAGGGACGGGGAGAGAGCGAUCCCCCGCCCAAGGCCCCGCUGCCCCUUACUGUUUUGGGCGCUGUGCCUGGGAGGCUGAGGCACCCCGCGCCCUCGCCCGCGCCCAGCUGGUCUACUCUCGGGGCUGGGGCGUCGGCGCGGCCCCGGCCGCACCUGGAAAGGAAGGGGUCUUGGGAAUCUCUGGAGCAGCGUGGGGACCCUACUCCUUGUGGAAGCAGCGAUUCAGUGUGUGUUAACAGUGUGGAUGCCGGUCCCGCUCCCCCUCUGGGUGGCGGGGGUGGGGGUAGCAGGAAGGGGUCUUGAGCAACCAUGUUGUUUGUUAACUUAAACGUUUGUGCGGCGCUGUGUACCGGUCGCUGUGGACGCGAUCUCUGGUGCUGAGGGGAUUUGAGGGUUCCUCACACUGGCGGGAUUUGGAGCCUCUACCCUGGUGGCAGUGGGUUUAGUGGGUUACCCUGGUGGCUAGUGGUUAAGUGCUAAGGCUGCUAGCCAAAAGGUUGGCAGUUUGAAUCCACCAGGCGCUCCUUGGAAACUCUGUGGGGCAGUUCUACUCUGUCCUAUAGGGUCGCUAUGAGUCAGAAUUGACUCGAUGGCCACAGGUGUGGUUUUUUUUUUUUUUUUAGGUUGGAGAUUAGGUGUCUCUCGGGCUGACAUUUGAAGGUCUGGAGCUGGCCGUUUAUGAGGGUUUAUAAGGGUUUUAAGUGCUCCGGCCAUGGGCACCAACCCGAUCUUCCAGCCCCUGCGGACGGACCGCCUCCCCCGCCCCGGGGGGAUUGGCUGCUCUGGGACCCCGAGCCCAGAGGGCGGUGAGAAGCUGACAAACCUUAAAUACAGACCAGAAGAGGAGUUUGGGGCUUGACACCUGACGUCUUAACACCAGUUCCUGUUUCUUGAGGAAGGAAGAGGUAAAAUAAAUCAGCGUUUACUGUGUCCUUCUCCAUCCCCGGAAGUCUUCAUGAAGACCCUCUCAGCUUCUACUUGAACGUGAAUAUGAGCAACUGAUCAUCUGUUCUGCGGUCAGCCCCUGGCCUGAUUCUGACUCAUGAUAUUGACCUUCUCCAUCAUCACCUUCCACAAAUUUGAUUCCUAUCUAUUCUGCCUGGAAUAGUUCAUGAGUAUAGUCACCAUUUAUGUUCCUGACGAAAGACAUUAUGCUCAUUCUCAGGGCCCUGAGACCUCAUCUGCAGCAGGUGAAGGCAUUCGUGGAGAGAGGCGGUUUCCGUGCGUGCAGGCAAAGUGUGUGCUGAGAUGAGUCGCUGGAGACUGGGGUGGACUCCUCAGACCCAGGAUAGGCCUCUGGCAGGCAUUCUAUCAGGCAUUCCAAGCUGUGAAGUGCCUGGGAGGAGAAGGAAGAGAUUUCAGAGAAUGAACACAUACAGAGAGACAGGCAAGAGACGGUGAGUGGGGAUGUCUUGCCUACUGAUAUCCUCAGGAAAGUGGGAAAAUUGGACCCUGGCCUGCUAUGACAAUGCCCUGAAGCAGUCCGCACCAGGGGCUCCCUUGUGCCUGCAUAGCCUUUCCCAGGGUGUGCUCAAAUCCUGUGGCCACUAGGUGUCCUGGGUCACAAUGGAGGGCCCUGUGUCAUCUGCCUGUUGGGCUGGAUCUCUGCCAUUGGCUGAGUCUUGUCACCAGGCCCAUCAUAAGCUCUGCCCACUCUUCCUGUGGGGGGACUGUCUCCAUGGUGAUGGCAAAGAAGCCUGAGUUCCGCCCACCUGGCCUUGACUUCACCUACCUGGCCUGCUGACCCUCACUCAGACCUCUGUGUUGAUCAAAAUGAGUGUCCGCCAGUGGCCAGGUGUCAGCAUCUGGGAUAAAGGAUUGGGGACCUUGCCUGGGGCAGAAGGCAGCCUAGGUCUGUGGGUACCUGGAAGUCUUGUGACUUCUGCCGCUGCUGCCAGUGACAGAUGGUGACUCCCACACUCACAUAUCCCCUGGUGGCAGAAGGAUAGUGAUGGGCGGAGAAACAUGGCUCCGGAGCACACUUUAAAUGCGGCACCAGCCAAAGGCCAGGGCAAGGAGUGGACGUCGUGGAGCUUAAUUGCAAGCCAGUGAAGGGCCCAAGGAUUUCUCCUAUAUGUGGCAAACAGGUCAUCCGUGUCCCCACGUCCAUAAACCACUGGACUGCAGUGCCAGACUGCCAGGAUUUCGGCCUUGCCAUUGGAGCCCGUCCACAUACGCUGCGUUGCACCGGAGGCGGGGACAUGUAGACAGCAAAAAUUUGGAAAAUGGCAUCAUCUCUUCAAUUUCCCUAGCAUUGGCCUUUUUCAGUGGCAUGCUUUGUUUCCUAGUAGGAUAAGGCACUGACGGAGAAAGGCAGGAGUAUGUGUGUAGGAAAGGUGUGUGCCGAAAGGGUGACGACGUUGAGACCACGUUGGGAUCUUUAGUCCCAGGAAAGGCCCCUGGCAGGUGUGGGUCAAUGUUCUCUGCUCAUCCGAGUUGGCGGGGGAGGUUUUCACCAAACAAAGCAGCACUGGAAUUAUUCGUAGCCUGAGAGGUUGCAUCUGCCCACAAGCUCCACCUGGCCAGGGUCCGCCCCUACUGUAUUGCCCAUGUCAAUCAACAGAAGCUAAGACCUUCCAGAGAGACUACCUGCUAUUGUCUACCCACCGGGAAGCGGUCCAGCCAGAAGCCUCCCCCGUUUCAUCUCCAGGCUCUCUGUCAGGCCCCUCAUACUUGUGAUGUGUCUCAGGGGUAGAAGGAAGAGAUUUCUCUGAAUGAACACAUCCAGAGAGGAGCCAUAGAUGCUGAGGAAGGGCGCCUUGUCUACUGAUAUCCUAGCGUAAGUGUAAAAGAGGUACCUGCCUGCUGUCCCAGUGUGUCGAACGUGUCCACAUCAGGGGUUGGCUACUGUAAAAUUAUUCCCUGGUGCCCUCGAUUUUGUGGCCAAAGACACGAGGGGCCGUUGUGUGUCCAUGGGUACAAUGGAGGGCUCUGCGGAACGGGCUGGUUAGGCUGGACUUCUCCUAUUGGCUCAGUGUUUGUGACUCGUCCCCGUCAGAAGUUCCGCCCAGCCUUCUGGUGGCUGUCUCCAUGAGGAUUGGGAAAGAAGCCCUAGGCCCCGCACUCGGCCUUCACCUGGCCUACCUGGCCUCUUUACCCUCAUCUAGACCGCUCUGUGCAUGAAAGAAAGGAUGUCGGCCACUGACCAAGCAUCCUCAUUUCCUUGGAAGUAUUAGGCUCCUUGCGUGGGCAGAAGACAGCCAAGGUCAGCCUGAGCCUAGACACCUAGUGACCUGUGACACUGCAGCCAGCGAUAGAUGUUGAUGUCCACGCUCAGGUAUCCGCAGUUGACGGAUUCAGAGUGGUCAGAGGAGAAGUGUAACUAGAGAUCACACACUCAUGAGGGCACGGGCCAAAGGUCAGGGAAAAUAGCUGAGGUCGUGGAGCUCUAGCGGAGCCAGUCAAGGGCCCAGGCCUCCCUCCUGUACGUGGCAAAGAGGUGUCACCUUCCGCAGAGUAUGCUGCCACCCGCAGACUCUGGACUGCUGGGGCCCUGGAUGCCCGGAUUUCGGCCUUGUGUUUGGAGAAGUGACGUGCAUGCAGUGUGCCACCGGGGGCUGUGGCCCAGCAGAAGCAAAAUCUUGAAAAUGGGAGCUUCAGUUGACUUUGCGUGUUCUCUCCCUUGGCUGAGUGCCAUCCUGUGUUUCCUAGCAGGAGAAGGCAUUCGUGGAGAAAGGCAGAUUCCAUGUGUGCAGGCAAAGUGUGUGCUGACAUGAUGAGACCCUGGAGACCAGGGUGGACUCUUCAGACCCAGGACAGGCCUCUGGCAGCUUAAAUACAGACCAGAAGAGGAGUUUGGGGCUUGACACCUGACGUCUUAACACCAGUUCCUGUUUCUUGAGGAAGGAAGAGGUAAAAUAAAUCAGCGUUUACUGUGUCCUUCUCCAUCCCCGGAAGUCUUCAUGAAGACCCUCUCAGCUUCUACUUGAACGUGAAUAUGAGCAACUGAUCAUCUGUUCUGCGGUCAGCCCCUGGCCUGAUUCUGACUCAUGAUAUUGACCUUCUCCAUCAUCACCUUCCACAAAUUUGAUUCCUAUCUAUUCUGCCUGGAAUAGUUCAUGAGUAUAGUCACCAUUUAUGUUCCUGACGAAAGACAUUAUGCUCAUUCUCAGGGCCCUGAGACCUCAUCUGCAGCAGGUGAAGGCAUUCGUGGAGAGAGGCGGUUUCCGUGCGUGCAGGCAAAGUGUGUGCUGAGAUGAGUCGCUGGAGACUGGGGUGGACUCCUCAGACCCAGGAUAGGCCUCUGGCAGGCAUUCUAUCAGGCAUUCCAAGCUGUGAAGUGCCUGGGAGGAGAAGGAAGAGAUUUCAGAGAAUGAACACAUACAGAGAGACAGGCAAGAGACGGUGAGUGGGGAUGUCUUGCCUACUGAUAUCCUCAGGAAAGUGGGAAAAUUGGACCCUGGCCUGCUAUGACAAUGCCCUGAAGCAGUCCGCACCAGGGGCUCCCUUGUGCCUGCAUAGCCUUUCCCAGGGUGUGCUCAAAUCCUGUGGCCACUAGGUGUCCUGGGUCACAAUGGAGGGCCCUGUGUCAUCUGCCUGUUGGGCUGGAUCUCUGCCAUUGGCUGAGUCUUGUCACCAGGCCCAUCAUAAGCUCUGCCCACUCUUCCUGUGGGGGGACUGUCUCCAUGGUGAUGGCAAAGAAGCCUGAGUUCCGCCCACCUGGCCUUGACUUCACCUACCUGGCCUGCUGACCCUCACUCAGACCUCUGUGUUGAUCAAAAUGAGUGUCCGCCAGUGGCCAGGUGUCAGCAUCUGGGAUAAAGGAUUGGGGACCUUGCCUGGGGCAGAAGGCAGCCUAGGUCUGUGGGUACCUGGAAGUCUUGUGACUUCUGCCGCUGCUGCCAGUGACAGAUGGUGACUCCCACACUCACAUAUCCCCUGGUGGCAGAAGGAUAGUGAUGGGCGGAGAAACAUGGCUCCGGAGCACACUUUAAAUGCGGCACCAGCCAAAGGCCAGGGCAAGGAGUGGACGUCGUGGAGCUUAAUUGCAAGCCAGUGAAGGGCCCAAGGAUUUCUCCUAUAUGUGGCAAACAGGUCAUCCGUGUCCCCACGUCCAUAAACCACUGGACUGCAGUGCCAGACUGCCAGGAUUUCGGCCUUGCCAUUGGAGCCCGUCCACAUACGCUGCGUUGCACCGGAGGCGGGGACAUGUAGACAGCAAAAAUUUGGAAAAUGGCAUCAUCUCUUCAAUUUCCCUAGCAUUGGCCUUUUUCAGUGGCAUGCUUUGUUUCCUAGUAGGAUAAGGCACUGACGGAGAAAGGCAGGAGUAUGUGUGUAGGAAAGGUGUGUGCCGAAAGGGUGACGACGUUGAGACCACGUUGGGAUCUUUAGUCCCAGGAAAGGCCCCUGGCAGGUGUGGGUCAAUGUUCUCUGCUCAUCCGAGUUGGCGGGGGAGGUUUUCACCAAACAAAGCAGCAGUGGAAUUAUUCGUAGCCUGAGAGGUUGCAUCUGCCCACAAGCUCCACCUGGCCAGGGUCCGCCCCUACUGUAUUGCCCAUGUCAAUCAACAGAAGCUAAGACCUUCCAGAGAGACUACCUGCUAUUGUCUACCCACCGGGAAGCGGUCCAGCCAGAAGCCUCCCCCGUUUCAUCUCCAGGCUCUCUGUCAGGCCCCUCAUACUUGUGAUGUGUCUCAGGGGUAGAAGGAAGAGAUUUCUCUGAAUGAACACAUCCAGAGAGGAGCCAUAGAUGCUGAGGAAGGGCGCCUUGUCUACUGAUAUCCUAGCGUAAGUGUAAAAGAGGUACCUGCCUGCUGUCCCAGUGUGUCGAACGUGUCCACAUCAGGGGUUGGCUACUGUAAAAUUAUUCCCUGGUGCCCUCGAUUUUGUGGCCAAAGACACGAGGGGCCGUUGUGUGUCCAUGGGUACAAUGGAGGGCUCUGCGGAACGGGCUGGUUAGGCUGGACUUCUCCUAUUGGCUCAGUGUUUGUGACUCGUCCCCGUCAGAAGUUCCGCCCAGCCUUCUGGUGGCUGUCUCCAUGAGGAUUGGGAAAGAAGCCCUAGGCCCCGCACUCGGCCUUCACCUGGCCUACCUGGCCUCUUUACCCUCAUCUAGACCGCUCUGUGCAUGAAAGAAAGGAUGUCGGCCACUGACCAAGCAUCCUCAUUUCCUUGGAAGUAUUAGGCUCCUUGCGUGGGCAGAAGACAGCCAAGGUCAGCCUGAGCCUAGACACCUAGUGACCUGUGACACUGCAGCCAGCGAUAGAUGUUGAUGUCCACGCUCAGGUAUCCGCAGUUGACGGAUUCAGAGUGGUCAGAGGAGAAGUGUAACUAGAGAUCACACACUCAUGA
Long non-coding RNA from Loxodonta africana (African savanna elephant), 6511 nucleotides. RefSeq lists it as uncharacterized. The transcript has 11 exons. The record is from RefSeq and is a predicted model, not a curated record. NCBI's taxonomy places the organism in Eukaryota, Metazoa, Chordata, Mammalia, Proboscidea, Elephantidae.